RNAcentral lists this ribosomal RNA (668 nucleotides) under uncultured Bacteroidales bacterium. RNAcentral describes it as "bacterial SSU rRNA". It matches the Rfam family "Bacterial small subunit ribosomal RNA", at positions 87 to 749 of the family's 1533-position model. Lineage: Bacteria; Pseudomonadati; Bacteroidota; Bacteroidia; Bacteroidales. The record is from RNAcentral.
GCCGGCGACCGGCGCACGGGUGAGUAACACGUAUGCAAUCCACCUGUAACAGGGGGAUAACCCGGAGAAAUCCGGACUAAUACCCCAUAAUAUGGGCUCUCCGCAUGGAGGAUUCAUUAAAGAGAGCAAUUUUGGUUACAGACGAGCAUGCGCUCCAUUAGCCAGUUGGCGGGGUAACGGCCCACCAAAGCGACGAUGGAUAGGGGUUCUGAGAGGAAGGUCCCCCACAUUGGAACUGAGACACGGUCCAAACUCCUACGGGAGGCAGCAGUGAGGAAUAUUGGUCAAUGGUCGGCAGACUGAACCAGCCAAGUCGCGUGAGGGAAGACGGCCCUACGGGUUGUAAACCUCUUUUGUCGGAGAGUAAAGUACGCUACGUGUAGCGUAUUGCAAGUAUCCGAAGAAAAAGCAUCGGCUAACUCCGUGCCAGCAGCCGCGGUAAUACGGAGGAUGCGAGCGUUAUCCGGAUUUAUUGGGUUUAAAGGGUGCGUAGGCGGCACGCCAAGUCAGCGGUGAAAUUUUCGGGCUCAACCCGGACUGUGCCGUUGAAACUGGCGAGCUAGAGUGCACAAGAGGCAGGCGGAAUGCGUGGUGUAGCGGUGAAAUGCAUAGAUAUCACGCAGAACCCCGAUUGCGAAGGCAGCCUGCUAGGGUGCGACAGACGCUGA